Molecule: non-coding RNA, 46 nt
Organism: Trichobilharzia regenti
Lineage: Eukaryota; Metazoa; Platyhelminthes; Trematoda; Strigeidida; Schistosomatidae
Source: Rfam
GUACUGAUGAAGAGUCCCAAAGUAGAACAAAACGGCUGUCCAGUAC